AGCGAACGCUGGCGGCAGGCCUAACACAUGCAAGUCGAACGAAGUCUUCGGACUUAGUGGCGGACGGGUGAGUAACAUGUGGGAACGUACCUUUUGGUUCGGAACAACUCAGGGAAACUUUAGCUAAUACCGGAUGAGCCCUUAGGGGGAAAGAUUUAUCGUCGAAAGAGCGGCCCGCGUUAGAUUAGCUAGUUGGUGAGGUAAAGGCUCACCAAGGCUACGAUCUAUAGCUGGUCGGAGAGGAUGAUCAGCCACACUGGGACUGAGACACGGCCCAGACUCCUACGGGAGGCAGCGGUGGGGAAUCUUGCGCAAUGGGCGAAAGCCUGACGCAGCCAUGCCGCGUGAAUGAUGAAGGUCCUAGGAUUGUAAAAUUCUUUUCCCAGGGACGAUAAUGACGGUACCUGGAGAAAAAGCCCCGGCUAACUCCGUGCCAGCAGCCGCCGUAA
This 449-nucleotide ribosomal RNA is filed under the name uncultured bacterium. Its description in RNAcentral is "partial 16S ribosomal RNA". It matches the Rfam family "Bacterial small subunit ribosomal RNA", at positions 29 to 523 of the family's 1533-position model. The record is from RNAcentral.